AACGAACGCUGGCGGCGUGCUUAACACAUGCAAGUCGAACGAGAAAGGGGUAGCAAUACCCCCGGUAAAGUGGCGAACGGGUGAGUAACACGUGGGUAACCUGCCCUCGAGCUCGGAAUAACCCGCCGAAAGGUGGGCUAAUACCGGAUAAAGCUCUCGGUCCUUCGGGACUGGGGACCAAAGAUGGCCAAUGCUUGCAAGCUAUCACUUGAGGAGGGGCCCGCGGCCCAUUAGCUAGUUGGCGGGGUAAUGGCCCACCAAGGCGACGAUGGGUAGCCGGCCUGAGAGGGCGAUCGGCCACAUUGGAACUGAGACACGGUCCAGACUCCUACGGGAGGCAGCAGUGAGGAAUCUUGCGCAAUGGGCGAAAGCCUGACGCAGCAACGCCGCGUGGGUGAUGAAGGCCUUCGGGUCGUAAAACCCUGUCAGGUGGGAAGAAUCGGGUGGGGGCUAAUAUCCCCCGCCCCUGACUGUACCACCGGAGGAAGCCCCGGCUAACUCCGUGC
This 506-nucleotide ribosomal RNA is filed under the name uncultured bacterium. Its description in RNAcentral is "bacterial SSU rRNA". It matches the Rfam family "Bacterial small subunit ribosomal RNA", at positions 29 to 508 of the family's 1533-position model. The record is from RNAcentral.